GGAAACUUGGCAGAGCCUGGUUGAAUGCGCCGGUCUCGAAAACCGGAAGAGGUUAAUCACCUUUCAUGGGUUCGAAUCCCAUAGUUUCCGCCA
This 93-nucleotide transfer RNA is filed under the name Acidithiobacillus sulfurivorans. RNAcentral's name for it is "tRNA-Ser". It matches the Rfam family "tRNA". From Rfam's summary of the family: Transfer RNA (tRNA) molecules are approximately 80 nucleotides in length. Their secondary structure includes four short double-helical elements and three loops (D, anti-codon, and T loops). The record is from RNAcentral. Lineage: Bacteria; Pseudomonadati; Pseudomonadota; Acidithiobacillia; Acidithiobacillales; Acidithiobacillaceae.